RNAcentral lists this ribosomal RNA (441 nucleotides) under uncultured bacterium. RNAcentral describes it as "partial 16S ribosomal RNA". It matches the Rfam family "Bacterial small subunit ribosomal RNA", at positions 338 to 795 of the family's 1533-position model. The record is from RNAcentral.
CCUACGGGGUGCAGCAGUGGGGGAUAUUGCACAAUGGGGGGAACCCUGAUGCAGCGACGCCGCGUGGGUGAAGGAGUGCUUCGGCAUGUAAAGCCCUAUCGGCAGGGAAGAAGCAAGACGGUACUUGACUAAGAAGCCCCGGCUAACUACGUGCCAGCAGCCGCGGUAACACGUAGGGGGCGAGCGUUAUCCGGAUUCACUGGGUGUAAGGGAUGCGUAGAGGGCAAUGCAAGCCAGGGGUGAAAGCCCGGGGCCCAACCCCGGGACUGCCCGUGGAACUGCUUAGCUGGAGUGCGGGAGGGGCAGGCGGAAUUCCUGGUGUAGCGGUGAAAUGCGUAGAUAUCAGGAGGAACACCGGCGGCGAAGGCGGCCUGCUGGACCGCGACUGACGUUGAGGCUCGAAAGCGUGGGGAGCGAACAGGAUUAGAUACCCUUGUAGUC